UGGGGAAUUUUGGACAAUGGGCGCAAGCCUGAUCCAGCCAUUCCGCGUGAGUGAAGAAGGCCUUCGGGUUGUAAAGCUCUUUCGCAAGGGAAGAAAACUUAUCCUCUAACAUAGGAUGAGGUUGACGGUACCUUGAUAAGAAGCACCGGCUAACUACGUGCCAGCAGCCGCGGUAAUACGUAGGGUGCGAGCGUUAAUCGGAAUUACUGGGCGUAAAGCGUGCGCAGGCGGCUAUUUAAGUCUGAUGUGAAAUCCCUGGGCUCAACCUAGGAACUGCGUUGGAAACUGAAUAGCUAGAAUAUGUCAGAGGGGGGUAGAAUUCCACGUGUAGCAGUGAAAUGCGUAGAGAUGUGGAGGAAUACCAAUGGCGAAGGCAGCCCCCUGGGAUAAUAUUGACGCU
Molecule: ribosomal RNA, 400 nt
Filed under: uncultured bacterium
Lineage: Bacteria
Description: bacterial SSU rRNA
Rfam family: Bacterial small subunit ribosomal RNA
Source: RNAcentral